UAUGUAUAUAUACAUGGAGGAAACUUUCUAUGAAUCGUUUAUAGGCGAUAUAAUAUAGGACUUUUCCAGGAGAUAUUUAUUUUUUAGAAUAUUAAUUUGGGUGUCCAGGCACAGCUAGUGGAAGCUUAAUGGUGCCCAAGUCAUUCUCCCUAGGAUUUAGGAUUGAAAUCUCCAUAGGAUUUAAAGUCUGGAAAGUCAUUCCUUUGCAUCAGCCCCUUCUGAGGAUGAGCCGGUCAGCUGUGGAGCCCAUCCCAGGCUGUCACCGUCUGACAGUCAGGCCCCCGGCCUCUUCCUUGGUCCAGAGAGAAGCUCUGCCCAGCAGCUCCUGAGAGAGAGCACGGAGACCUACCCCGGGCCAAAUAAGGGAAAAUUACAAAAGGGGCCUCAGAGUCUGGGUCUGAGUCACGUCUGAGCGAUGCGGCCACGGUCUGACUCAGCUCGUGGAGAUCCUUCAGCUCCUAAGGGCAAGAAUGAGAAUCAUGAAAGCAGCAGGCUUGGAGGUGGAACGGGAGGGCGGCACCAUCUCCUCUCGUGUAACCCGUGCAGGUUCCUGAAACGGACGAUGAUGUCUUUCUUAUUCAUCUUGCGAUCCUGGCAUAGCUCCUGACACCUGGACUCUGUGAAACUGAUAUCCCUCCAGAGGACCCCAGAUAAUAAGACGCGGUUCCAAUUCUCCAGAGCUGGGCCAUUCAAAGCCAGUUUUAAACAAGAGGUUGAAUGACGCUCCUGAUGGCUCAGUUUUAUACGUGGUAUUAGUGUACUUCUGGUGGCAAGGGAGUUUUUUAUGACUCGUAUAAAUGACAUCUUAA
This 809-nucleotide long non-coding RNA is filed under the name Equus asinus (donkey). RNAcentral describes it as "lncRNA (ENSEASG00005033553.1)". Lineage: Eukaryota; Metazoa; Chordata; Mammalia; Perissodactyla; Equidae. The record is from RNAcentral.